ACAAGGAGCAAUCUGAGGUGGCGACCGGCGCACGGGUGAGUAACACGUAUGCAACCUGCCUGUAAGCGGGGAAUAACCCGUUGAAAGAACGGACUAAUACCGCAUAAUACUAAAUUACUGCAUGGUAAUUUAUUUAAACAUUUAUGGCUUACAGAUGGGCAUGCGCAUGAUUAGCUAGUUGGAGAGGUAACGGCUCCCCAAGGCAACGAUCAUUAGGGGUUCUGAGAGGAAGGUCCCCCACACUGGUACUGAGACACGGACCAGACUCCUACGGGAGGCAGCAGUGAGGAAUAUUGGUCAAUGGACGAGAGUCUGAACCAGCCAAGUCGCGUGCAGGAAGAAUGUCCCUAUGGAUUGUAAACUGCUUUUGCAGGGGAAUAAAGUGCAUCACGUGUGAUGUUUUGUAUGUACUCUGCGAAUAAGGAUCGGCUAACUCCGUGCCAGCCGCAGC
This 451-nucleotide ribosomal RNA is filed under the name uncultured bacterium. RNAcentral describes it as "bacterial SSU rRNA". It matches the Rfam family "Bacterial small subunit ribosomal RNA", at positions 72 to 518 of the family's 1533-position model. The record is from RNAcentral.